GAUGAACGCUGGCGGCGUGCCUAAUACAUGCCAGUCGAGCGAACAGACGAGGAGCUUGCUCCUUUGACGUUAGCGGCGGACGGGUGAGUAACACGUAGGUAACCUACCUAUAAGACUGGGAUAACUUCGGGAAACCGGAGCUAAUACCGGAUAAUAUUUCGAACCGCAUGGUUCGAUAGUGAAAGAUGGCUUUGCUGUCACUUAUAGAUGGACCUGCGCCGUAUUAGCUAGUUGGUAAGGUAACGGCUUACCAAGGCAACGAUACGUAGCCGACCUGAGAGGGUGAUCGGCCACACUGGAACUGAGACACGGUACAGACUCCUACGGGAGGCAGCAGUAGGGAAUCUUCCGCAAUGGGCGAAAGCCUGACGGAGCAACGCCGCGUGAGGGAUGAAGGUCUUCGGAUCGUAAAACUCUGUUAUUAGGGAAGAACAAACGUGUAAGUAACUGUGCACGUCUUGACGGUACCUAAUCAGAAAGCCACGGCUAACUACGUG
RNAcentral lists this ribosomal RNA (497 nucleotides) under uncultured bacterium. Its description in RNAcentral is "partial 16S ribosomal RNA". It matches the Rfam family "Bacterial small subunit ribosomal RNA", at positions 28 to 507 of the family's 1533-position model. The record is from RNAcentral.